This 492-nucleotide ribosomal RNA is filed under the name uncultured bacterium. RNAcentral's name for it is "partial 16S ribosomal RNA". It matches the Rfam family "Bacterial small subunit ribosomal RNA", at positions 29 to 507 of the family's 1533-position model. The record is from RNAcentral.
AGUGAACGCUGGCGGUAGGCCUAACACAUGCAAGUCGAACGGCAGCGCAGUAAGAGCUUGCUCUUACGGGUGGCGAGUGGCGGACGGGUGAGGAAUACAUCGGAAUCUACUUUUUCGUGGGGGAUAACGUAGGGAAACUUACGCUAAUACCGCAUACGACCUACGGGUGAAAGCAGGGGAUCUUCGGACCUUGCGUGAUUGAAUGAGCCGAUGUCGGAUUAGCUAGUUGGCGGGGUAAAGGCCCACCAAGGCGACGAUCCGUAGCUGGUCUGAGAGGAUGAUCAGCCACACUGGAACUGAGACACGGUCCAGACUCCUACGGGAGGCAGCAGUGGGGAAUAUUGGACAAUGGGCGCAAGCCUGAUCCAGCCAUACCGCGUGGGUGAAGAAGGCCUUCGGGUUGUAAAGCCCUUUUGUUGGGAAAGAAAAGCAGCAGGUUAAUACCCCGCUGUUCUGACGGUACCCAAAGAAUAAGCACCGGCUAACUUCGUG